GCCGCAGUCGCAUAACCCGGUAUUGCGCUGGUCUCGAAAACCGGUUUCCGAAAGGAUGUCUCGGUUCAAAUCCGAGCUGCGGCG
RNAcentral lists this transfer RNA (84 nucleotides) under Candidatus Woesearchaeota archaeon. Its description in RNAcentral is "tRNA-Ser". It matches the Rfam family "tRNA". From Rfam's summary of the family: Transfer RNA (tRNA) molecules are approximately 80 nucleotides in length. Lineage: Archaea; Nanobdellati; Candidatus Woesearchaeota. The record is from RNAcentral.